Thermothelomyces thermophilus ATCC 42464 is the source of this 84-nucleotide non-coding RNA. Lineage: Eukaryota; Fungi; Ascomycota; Sordariomycetes; Sordariales; Chaetomiaceae. The record is from the annotation of a RefSeq genome assembly.
GGGCUGUUGGUCUAGUGGUAUGAUUCUCGCUUUGGGACCGCAGUGUUUUGCGAGAGGUCCCGGGUUCAAUCCCCGGACAGCCCC